This 235-nucleotide long non-coding RNA is filed under the name Prunus persica (peach). Its description in RNAcentral is "long non-coding RNA (PPER_LNC005296)". Lineage: Eukaryota; Viridiplantae; Streptophyta; Magnoliopsida; Rosales; Rosaceae. The record is from RNAcentral.
GGAGGAGUCAUUUGGUGUGUUUUAAGUGAAAUCCAAUCUCUACAACUACACAAUACACCGACCACUCCAUUUCAUAACGAACUUUGUACGAACCUGAAUUGUCCAAUUUUAUGGACCAAUCGAUAUCGGAUUGAGUCCAAAACUUGGGGAACAUCAUAAUACGGUGGGAGGAGUCAUUUGUUGUCGUUUGAGUGAAAUUCAAUGGCUGAAACUAUGCAACACACUAACCACUCCA